Molecule: long non-coding RNA, 4534 nt
Organism: Leopardus geoffroyi (Geoffroy's cat)
Lineage: Eukaryota; Metazoa; Chordata; Mammalia; Carnivora; Felidae
Exons: 3
Source: RefSeq, a predicted model, not a curated record
CCAGACAUGUGGAAAGGGCCAUCCCAGCUCCUGUACACCCUGUAGGAUCAACUGAAACACUGUAGCAACUGCAUCAGAGUUCAACAAAUAGGGUUUUUACUCUAUGUGCCUCUUUGAAAACCACAAUUUUUUUCUCAGUAUCUCAUAUCUUGGCUCUCCAUCCAUAUUAUCCCUACGAGUGUAGACAUAUAGUCUUCAACAGCUGCAAAACAUCCCAUGGAUAUCUCAUAAUUCACUUAUCCCAUUCCUUAUUGUUGAAUAUUUAGGUACUUUCCAACUAUUUUCUAUCAAUUAUACUUUGUUGAACAUCUUUGUAUAUACAUCUUCAUAAAUUUGUCCAACUGUCUUUAGGAUGAAUUCCUAGAGGCUGAUUGAUGGGUCAAAAGAUACUGCUCUCCAUAAGAGUGCUAACAAUUUCUAUUCCCACCACAAGUACUGGGAAAAUCCCCAAAUCUGUCUGUCUCCAUUCAGAUUCGUGACGAUGAAACUCAAAUGGACCCUCAGCACUGCAAUCCUACACACAUUCCUCCAUAGUUUGCUUUCCUACUUUUCAAGAUAAUCCUUUAAAUUGGUUUCAUUUCUUCUUAACCCUACUGCAUCCCUUCCCCUCCCACAUGCCCAGCUGAUAUCCUGGUUUCAUACCUGUCCCCCCUGCAAAAAAAUUGAAGGCAUAGAGGGCAACAAUCUUACCUGUCCACCCUCAAAUCGAUACACCCCCAACCCUGCCACAUGGACUAUGUACCAGAACCCCAUUGUCUCUGCCUUCCUCUUUCACUAUAGCAGUGUCCACGUGGCUAGCCAUGGUUAACACCUCACUUGAACCACAUUUGUCCAACUGCUCAAGGACUUCUGUCCUGCGAUAUCCCCUUUCCUUCUUACAUCAUCAUCACCAUCCACCACCACCAUCAUCAUCAUCAUCAUCCUCAUCAUCUCUGUCUUCUCUCUCCUGGAUGAUUGCCAAUGGCAUAAAAUGAACUCUCUCAUCCCCCAUCUCAAAAUACAGACAAAUCAAAAAUCAAAAAUAACAAAAUAAGACAACACUCCUUUCAUGGCCCCUCUAGUCUUCACCCCAUUUCUCUUCAGUUCCCUUCCCAGCAAAACCUCUGGAACAAGUUGUCUACACUCUUUGCCACAAAUUCCUCACUGUCCAUCCACUCUCCACACUCUCCCAGUGAGCCCUACCACUCACCCCACCUGUUCUUAUCCAACUGAUUCCUUUUAUGUUGCCACAUCUAAGGGACAUAUUUUGGUCCUUGUCUUGACUGAUUCCCAGUGGCAGAGGCAGUGUCUAGAGCGAACCACUCUCCUGAAAAACCCAACCACCCCAACUUCUAGGAUAAUACAGGAUCCGCUGGUUCCUCUUCUAACUUACACAUUUCUCCUGCUUAGAUUGUUUUGCUGGCAUCUCCCCCUCCACAUGAACUCUGAAGAUUGGAGUACCUCAGGGCUCAGUCCUUGGCCCUGGAGACCCUUCCUCUUGUAUCCCCACCCCCUUCUCUGUCUCAAUAAUCAUCACAUAAAAUCAAUACCAAAAAUUGACAAAGGCAGCUCAAAAAGAAAGAAAUACAGAUCAAUGGCAUAUCAUAUAUUCACUCAUUCAAUACAUAUUUAUUGAACACCUACUUUGUGCUAAGCAUUGAGGGAAGACUAUGGUGAAAGAGAUAGGAAGUCUCUGUUCCAAAGUUACAUACCAUAACGUGCAAAAUCUCACACUCAAAGCAGAAGUGAUCCUUAAAUGGUAUAAUUGCAUGUGAAGGCUUUUUUUUUUUUUUUUAAUAUUUGGCUUUAUUAAAGGUUUUGAUUUUUUUUUUUUUUGUCCUUGUUUUUUUUUUUUUUUCUUUUAAGGAAAAGGGAAAGCCAGGUUUGUACCUCUGAAAAAAAUGUUGGCAUAGUUUUUAAACAAACACUCUAAAGAUUCUCUAAUCUUCUUAGAGUCAGAAGUGAACUAUUUCCUUACUUAACUACAAUUAGAAAUGGCUUAUUUUCUCAAUUUUAAAUGAGUUUCUGAAACAUAUCACAUGACACCAAAGAUGAGUGGAAAUUAGAAGCUGUUGCUGCUCUUUCUAGGUCAUGAAUCAUAGCCUUUUCUCUACAAUUUGCUGCAACUAAUGUCUGAAAUCUAAGGCCCCCAUCCUGAAUUAAAUUAUAAUUCAGAGUUAAGAGGACAUUACCCAAAUCAGCACUGUAGGGGUUUAUUUACAUCAUGCAUGUAGUGAUAAAUUGGGAAAUCCUUGUGUAUUGAAGAUCUUCCUCUCUGAACAUUCGGAUAUCCCAUAACACUGCCUUUAGGAUAAAAAUAAGGUGGGGCAGGGGUUGGCCUGGAUUUGUUUUCAGACAUCUUAACCAACAUUUGGACCAAAUACAUAGAAAGCAUAAUACAUUUAUAUAUGUAUCAAUUAUUAUAUUCCCUAAAUAGCCAUAGUGAUGAAAGUCUCUGCAGUACACACACUUAGUCUACUAGCUUUCUGGCUUUAUCUUUCCAUCCUCUUCAGACUUUGUGGGGUCCACUGUGUGGAUAUCUUGACUCAUGAAUUUUUUAGACUAAUUAUCCCAGCAGAUUUAAGCCUGUUGGACACUGGGGCACUGGUUGGUGCUGUUGUGACUGUUAAUGGGCAUAUACUGGGUAAGAUUUUUCCUUUCGUCUUGUUUUAUGUCCCAAGAGUUUGGCUAGGGGUCAAGGAGAGGGUACCCCAAGAUGGGCCACUUUGGCAUUAAGACUAUUUUGAGCUGAAAGUAAUCAAGAUCCUGUGAACUCCAAAGAAACGUUUUGCCCUUCCCUUAACUACAUGGAAGAACCUAAAUUAGAGGAGGUCUUUCCCAGAAUAAUGGUUAUUACCAGAGUUAAAGUUUAUUUGAGUGACCCAUCUGUAUACCAGGGCAAAAAUCUAACUACCAAACAUCUGCUUUUUUUCUUACUGCCCUGUCAAUGGCAUUUUUUCCCUUUGAAGUCCCAGAUCCCUAUUCCAUUCCCCCGAGUUCAGGAUGACAUAUAUACCUCCUUUUGCCUGACUGUUUUUGGAAUUUCUGUGACUACGUGGAUUCCCCAUUUGUACACUAUUAAAUUUGAUUUUCUUCCUUUAAUCUGUCUCAUGUCGAUUUGAUUCUUAGUCCAGCUAGAAGGGCCUUUGAGGGGACAGGAAUUCUGGCUCCUUGACAGUUGGCAUAGUCAAAAGGAUGUUUUAAGUCACUGGACACCAGUCGCUCUGACGCUGCUGGAGCUGAAAUCUCCUGGGACAUCUGACACACAGCUGGCAGAAGGACAUGAUUGGAAGCCUUAGUUAUAUUACAAAGGCUUUGGCUGGAAUGUCGUAUUUGAGAGAGGCGUGCAUAGACUCAGAUAUGAACAGACAGCUUUAAGGAACUAAGCCUGACUUUAUGGAGCCAAUAAAACCCCUUGGAAAAUAUCAGCCUGGUGCAUUGCUCACAAAGGUCCCAGCAGCCUCACCAGGUGAAUAAAGAAGGUCACUCCCUGGCAGGUGCAGGAAGCUCAGGAUGUUCUGGGGACCUCGAGAAGAGAGGAAUUCACCCAAGUCUUGUUCUCCAGUGCCAGGCUACAACUCUCCAAACUAAUGUUUUUGAAUGUUCUCCCACCUUUCUGACUUGGAAUCAUUUGAGAACUAAAACUUCCCUCUUCCUUGAAGCCCUGCAAACUUAAUAUAAAUGGCUUGGUGUAAACUUCAGAGAAAUUGCCACAAUGGCUCAUGUCUAGACAAUCUUUGUACCUACUGCACUGUGGGCCACUCAACAGAUUGCUAGAGACAUGUGAGCUACAAACCAGGAGAAUCUGUCGCAUUGCCACGGCCUGCCUUCACUCUGUCUGAAGAUGCUCGGAGCCUGACAUCUAGAAGUCUUGUCAGCUGGCUGGCUCAGAACUCAGAGACAGGUUUAUAAUCUGAUCUAAUCAUUAACCGCUGCUUUUCUUUUAUUUCCAUAGAAAGGCCUCUUAUCUAAUACCUGAUUACUUGAACCAUAGGCCUAGCUUGGAGAAACGCCACCUUCUGAAAUGAGUUCAACUAAGCUGACCUAUUAUCAAGACUCAGGGGAGUGGUUCGGUGAGAUGAAACAAUCUACCAGCUCAACUUUUAAUGUGGGAACCAUCAGGAAGUUUCAGGGGACGGAACUGUGAGGGCCAAAGACAGGCUGUCCCAAGAUGGGCCACUUUGGUAUGAAGACUAUUUUGAGCUGAAAGCAGUCGAGACCCUCUAGGUCAAGAGGAACCCCUUGCUCCUCCCUGAGCUGCAUAGGAGAAUCUAGAUUGGCAAUCUUUCCCAGAAUAACGGUUAUUACCACAGAUACAUUUAUCUGCAUGACCCAUCUGUAGGGCAGGGCAGACAUCUAAGUACCAAACACCGGCUCCUUUUCUUACUGCCCUGUCAACUGCACUUUUUCCCUUCAAAGUCCCAGACUCCUACCCCUUCUCCUCACCUCAGGAUGGCAUACAGACCUCAUUUGGCCUGACUGUCUUUGGAAUUUCCAUGUCUGUGUGGAUUCCCUGUAUGUAUGCUAUUAAAUUUGAUUUUCUCCUAUUGAUCCA